AAUUUUGGACAAUGGGCGCAAGCCUGAUCCAGCCAUGCCGCGUGAGUGAAGAAGGACUUCGGGUUGUCACGCACUUUCGGAAGGAAAGAAAACGCGCAGGCUACUACCUUGCGAGGUUGACGCUACCGUCAUAAGAAGCACCGGCUAACUACGUGCCAGCAGCCGCGGUAAUACGAAGGGUGCGAGCGUUAAUCGGAAUUGCUGGGCGUAAAGCGUGCGCAGGCGGUUGAUUAAGACAGACGUAAAAGCCCCAGGCUUAACCUGGGAACUGCGCUUGUGACUGAUCAGCUAGAGUACGGCAGAGGGGGGUGGAAUUCCACGUGUAGCAGUGAAAUGCGUAGAGAUAUGGAGGAACACCGAUGGCGAAGGCAACCCCCUGGGCCGAUACUGACGCUCAUGCACGAAAGCGUGGGUAGCAAACAGG
Molecule: ribosomal RNA, 424 nt
Filed under: uncultured bacterium
Lineage: Bacteria
Description: partial 16S ribosomal RNA
Rfam family: Bacterial small subunit ribosomal RNA
Source: RNAcentral